Molecule: ribosomal RNA, 254 nt
Filed under: uncultured bacterium
Lineage: Bacteria
Description: partial 16S ribosomal RNA
Rfam family: Bacterial small subunit ribosomal RNA
Source: RNAcentral
GACGUAGGGUGCGAGCGUUGUCCGGAUUUAUUGGGCGUAAAGAGCUCGUAGGCGGUCUGUCGCGUCGGUCGUGAAAACCUGCAGCUUAACUGUGGGCGUGCGGUCGAUACGGGCAUGACUGGAGUUCGGCAGGGGAGACUGGAAUUCCUGGUGUAGCGGUGAAAUGCGCAGAUAUCAGGAGGAACACCGGUGGCGAAGGCGGGUCUCUGGGCCGAUACUGACGCUGAGGAGCGAAAGCGUGGGGAGCGAACAGG